CAGGUCCUCGGAUCGUCCAGGUCCUCGGAUCGUCCAGGUCCUCGGAUCGUCCAGGUCCUCGGAUCGUCCAGGUCCUCAGAUCGUCCCGGUCCUCGGACUGGACAGACUCACAGCUGUCUGUAUGAAGUGGACAGAAGACAAACCUGGACAUGAAGACUGAUCAGAGACAGGACAUAAAAAACUUUAGGAUAUUUUGUCCCUCGGGUUGUUGGUUCUGUGAGUUCCCUCUGGGUUGGAGAGUUCUGGGACCGGUUCUGGAUCCUCUGGGUUCAGGACCACAGGCUGAACUGUUUCCUGUAAAAAAAAAAAAARUUUUUUAAUCUGACGGAUCAGAAGUCCUGCAGCAGGACUUCUGAUCCGUCAGCGUUACAUCAUCUGCUGCACAAUCUGCUUUUAUUUUGAAGAGAAGUGAUUCUGUGCAGCAGACCUGGUUCUGGUUCUGUUUGUGUCGGUGUGUUUUGGACUCCUCCUGUCAGCUCCCUGGUUGUGGGUCAUUUUUAGUACUGUUAUUAUUUACACACAAAUGUUCACUGACUUUUUGUAAACACACACACCUGCUGGUGAAAGAGCCUCGUUGAUCCUUCAGAAGAGGAAAUGUAAAAAAACAGGAGCAGUUUUGAUCUUUUUUCAUGUCAAAGUGCUUCUCUGACCGUGAGCUCUAUUUAUUAAAACAUGUUGAAAAUCCUUUUAAAUGUUUUUAUUUUAUUUUUUUGAUGACGUCAUCACUUCCUGUCAGUUUGAUCAGGUUCUGAGGUGGUUUUCCACCCUGUCGUCCAGAGCAGAAAAACUGCUGCUUUUCUAAGAGAAUAAUGAAAAAACAACAAAUAUCA
Long non-coding RNA from Austrofundulus limnaeus, 830 nucleotides. RefSeq lists it as uncharacterized. The record is from RefSeq and is a predicted model, not a curated record. NCBI's taxonomy places the organism in Eukaryota, Metazoa, Chordata, Actinopteri, Cyprinodontiformes, Rivulidae. The transcript is spliced from 2 exons.